This 260-nucleotide ribosomal RNA is filed under the name uncultured bacterium. Its description in RNAcentral is "partial 16S ribosomal RNA". It matches the Rfam family "Bacterial small subunit ribosomal RNA", at positions 333 to 589 of the family's 1533-position model. The record is from RNAcentral.
UGCUUCCUACGGGGGGCAGCAGUGAGGAAUACUGGUCAAUGGGCGCGAGCCUGAACCAGCCAAGUCGCGUGAGGGAAGACGGUCCUAUGGAUUGUAAACCUCUUUUGCCGGGGAGCAAGCUGAGUCACGUGUGGCUCAGCUGAGAGUACCCGGAGAAAAAGCAUCGGCUAACUCCGUGCCAGCAGCCGCGGUAAUACGGAGGAUGCGAGCGUUAUCCGGAUUUAUUGGGUUUAAAGGGUGCGUAGGCGGACUGUCAAGUC